CCUACGGGAGGCAGCAGUGAGGAAUAUUGGUCAAUGGACGAGAGCCUGAACCAGCCAAGUAGCGUGAAGGAUGACUGCCCUAUGGGUUGUAAACUUCUUUUAUAUGGGAAUAAAAUGUUCCACGUGUGGGAUUUUGUAUGUACUAUAUGAAUAAGGAUCGGCUAACUCCGUGCCAGCAGCCGCGGUAAUACGGAGGAUCCGAGCGUUAUCCGGAUUUAUUGGGUUUAAAGGGAGCGUAGGUGGAUUGUUAAGUCAGUUGUGAAAGUUUGCGGCUCAACCGUAAAAUUGCAGUUGAAACUGGCAGUCUUGAGUACAGUAGAGGUAGGCGGAAUUCGUGGUGUAGCGGUGAAAUGCUUAGAUAUCACGAAGAACUCCGAUUGCGAAGGCAGGUGUCCGGGGUGCAACUGACGCUGAGGCUCGAAAGUGCGGGUAUCAAACAGGAUUAGAUACCCCAGUAGUC
This 460-nucleotide ribosomal RNA is filed under the name uncultured bacterium. Its description in RNAcentral is "partial 16S ribosomal RNA". It matches the Rfam family "Bacterial small subunit ribosomal RNA", at positions 338 to 795 of the family's 1533-position model. The record is from RNAcentral.